UACGAACUGUGCAAACGUUAUUCGGAUUCACUGGGCCUAAAGGGUGCGUAGGCGGCCAUGUAAGUAGGGUGUGAAAUCCCCCGGCUUAACCGGGGAACUGCGCCCUAAACUGUAUGGCUGGAGUGAGAUAGGGGUGUGUGGAACUUCCGGUGGAGCGGUGAAAUGUGUUGAUAUCGGAAGGAACGCCGGUGGCGAAAGCGACACACUGGGUCUCAACUGACGCUGAGGCACGAAAGCCAGGGGAGCGAACGGG
Molecule: ribosomal RNA, 253 nt
Filed under: uncultured bacterium
Lineage: Bacteria
Description: partial 16S ribosomal RNA
Rfam family: Bacterial small subunit ribosomal RNA
Source: RNAcentral